Long non-coding RNA from Sinocyclocheilus grahami, 264 nucleotides. RefSeq lists it as uncharacterized. The transcript is spliced from 2 exons. Lineage: Eukaryota; Metazoa; Chordata; Actinopteri; Cypriniformes; Cyprinidae. The record is from RefSeq and is a predicted model, not a curated record.
UGAAGAUUGUUGCACUUUGAAGGGCCAAGACCCUGUCAACUGCCUGUUUUCAGUAGUUUUGUCUUUGUACAAGAGUGUUCAGAUGACAGCUGUACGCCCUCCAUGCUCAAGUGUGUGUAGCUGUGAUAUCAGCAUUCAUACUGACAUUGGUAGGUUGUCAGUGGGGAGAAAUGAUGUGAUUCGAUUUCUAUGGGAAGCAAGGCGGAUGAACCCUCCUUGGCUGUCAACUACCCCCACUUGGGACCUCGCUUUCAUUUAAAAAAA